This 1038-nucleotide long non-coding RNA is filed under the name Salmo trutta (river trout). RNAcentral describes it as "lncRNA (ENSSTUG00000011242.1)". Lineage: Eukaryota; Metazoa; Chordata; Actinopteri; Salmoniformes; Salmonidae. The record is from RNAcentral.
AGUGGGUCUGGUCAAUUGCUUAUUGAGUUAGGUGAGAGUGGUCUGGUCAAUUGCUUAUUGAAUCAGGUUAGAGUGGGUCUGGUCAGUUGGUUAUUGAAUCAGGUUAGAGUGGGUCUGGUCAGCUGCUUAUUGAAUCAGGUUAGAGUGGGUCUGGUCAGCUGCUUAUUGAAUCAGGUGAGAGUGGGUCUGGUCAGCUGCUUAUUGAAUCAGGUUAGAGUGGGUCUGGUCAGCUGCUUAUUGAAUCAGGUUAGAGUGGGUCUGGUCAGCUGCUUAUUGAAUCAGGUUAGAGUGGGUCUGGUCAGCUGCUUAUUGAAUCAGGUUAGAGUGGGUCUGGUCAGUUGGUUAUUGAAUCAGGUUAGAGUGGGUCUGGUCAGCUGCUUAUUGAAUCAGGUUAGAGUGGGUCUGGUCAGCUGCUUAUUGAAUCAGGUUAGAGUGGGUCUGGUCAGCUGCUUAUUGAAUCAGGUUAGAGUGGGUCUGGUCAGCUGCUUAUUGAAUCAGGUUAAAGUGGGUCUGGUCAGCUGCUUAUUGAAUCAGGUUAAAGUGGGUCUGGUCAGCUGCUUAUUGAAUCAGGUUAGAGUGGGUCUGGUCAGCUGCUUAUUGAAUCAGGUUAGAGUCGGUCUGGUCAGUUGGUUAUUGAAUCAGGUUAGAGUGGGUCUGGUCAGCUGCUUAUUGAAUCAGGUUAGAGUGGGUCUGGUCAGUUGGUUAUUGAAUCAGGUUAGAGUGGGUCUGGUCAGCUGCUUAUUGAAUCAGGUUAGAGUCGGUCUGGUCAGUUGGUUAUUGAAUCAGGUUAGAGUGGGUCUGGUCAGCUGCUUAUUGAAUCAGGUUAGAGUGGGUCUGGUCAGUUGGUUAUUGAAUCAGGUUAGAGUGGGUCUGGUCAGCUGCUUAUUGAAUCAGGUUAGAGUCGGUCUGGUCAGUUGGUUAUUGAAUCAGGUUAGAGUGGGUCUGGUCAGCUGCUUAUUGAAUCAGGUUAGAGUGGGUCUGGAACUAAAGCCAGUGCACACAGCACCUACUGUUGGUAAACCUCAAGUCAGGGUGUGA